GACGAACGCUGGCGGCGUGCUUAACACAUGCCAGUCGAACGGAAAGGCCCUGCUUUUGUGGGGUGCUCGAGUGGCGAACGGGUGAGUAACACGUGAGUAACCUGCCCUUGACUUUGGGAUAACUUCAGGAAACUGGGGCUAAUACCGGAUAGGAGCUCCUGCUGCAUGGUGGGGGUUGGAAAGUUUCGGCGGUUGGGGAUGGACCCGCGGCUUAUCAGCUUGUUGGUGGGGUAGUGGCUUACCAAGGCUUUGACGGGUAGCCGGCCUGAGAGGGUGACCGGCCACAUUGGGACUGAGAUACGGCCCAGACUCCUACGGGAGGCAGCAGUGGGGAAUAUUGCACAAUGGGCGGAAGCCUGAUGCAGCAACGCCGCGUGCGGGAUGACGGCCUUCGGGUUGUAAACCGCUUUCGCCUGUGACGAAGCGUGAGUGACGGUAAUGUGUAAAGAAGCACCGGCUAACUACGUG
This 468-nucleotide ribosomal RNA is filed under the name uncultured bacterium. RNAcentral's name for it is "partial 16S ribosomal RNA". It matches the Rfam family "Bacterial small subunit ribosomal RNA", at positions 28 to 507 of the family's 1533-position model. The record is from RNAcentral.